UGCUGGAGGUAUCAGAAGUGCGAAUGCUGACAUAAGUAACGAUAAAGCGGGUGAAAAGCCCGCUCGCCGGAAGACCAAGGGUUCCUGUCCAACGUUAAUCGGGGCAGGGUGAGUCGACCCCUAAGGCGAGGCCGAAAGGCGUAGUCGAUGGGAAACAGGUUAAUAUUCCUGUACUUGGUGUUACUGCGAAGGGGGGACGGAGAAGGCUAUGUUGGCCGGGCGACGGUUGUCCCGGUUUAAGCGUGUAGGCUGGUUUUCCAGGCAAAUCCGGAAAACCAAGGCUGAGGCGUGAUGACGAGGCACUACGGUGCUGAAGCGACAAAUGCCCUGCUUCCAGGAAAAGCCUCUAAGCAUCAGGUAACAUCAAAUCGUACCCCAAACCGACACAGGUGGUCAGGUAGAGAAUACCAAGGCGCUUGAGAGAACUCGGGUGAAGGAACUAGGCAAAAUGGUGCCGUAACUUCGGGAGAAGGCACGCUGAUAUGUAGGUGAAGCGACUUGCUCGUGGAGCUGAAAUCAGUCGAAGAUACCAGCUGGCUGCAACUGUUUAUUAAAAACACAGCACUGUGCAAACACGAAAGUGGACGUAUACGGUGUGACGCCUGCCCGGUGCCGGAAGGUUAAUUGAUGGGGUUAGCGGUAACGCGAAGCUCUUGAUCGAAGCCCCGGUAAACGGCGGCCGUAACUAUAACGGUCCUAAGGUAGCGAAAUUCCUUGUCGGGUAAGUUCCGACCUGCACGAAUGGCGUAAUGAUGGCCAGGCUGUCUCCACCCGAGACUCAGUGAAAUUGAACUCGCUGUGAAGAUGCAGUGUACCCGCGGCAAGACGGAAAGACCCCGUGAACCUUUACUAUAGCUUGACACUGAACAUUGAGCCUUGAUGUGUAGGAUAGGUGGGAGGCUUUGAAGUGUGGACGCCAGUCUGCAUGGAGCCGACCUUGAAAUACCACCCUUUAAUGUUUGAUGUUCUAACGUUGGCCCGUAAUCCGGGUUGCGGACAGUGUCUGGUGGGUAGUUUGACUGGGGCGGUCUCCUCCUAAAGAGUAACGGAGGAGCACGAAGGUUGGCUAAUCCUGGUCGGACAUCAGGAGGUUAGUGCAAUGGCAUAAGCCAGCUUGACUGCGAGCGUGACGGCGCGAGCAGGUGCGAAAGCAGGUCAUAGUGAUCCGGUGGUUCUGAAUGGAAGGGCCAUCGCUCAACGGAUAAAAGGUACUCCGGGGAUAACAGGCUGAUACCGCCCAAGAGUUCAUAUCGACGGCGGUGUUUGGCACCUCGAUGUCGGCUCAUCACAUCCUGGGGCUGAAGUAGGUCCCAAGGGUAUGGCUGUUCGCCAUUUAAAGUGGUACGCGAGCUGGGUUUAGAACGUCGUGAGACAGUUCGGUCCCUAUCUGCCGUGGGCGCUGGAGAACUGAGGGGGGCUGCUCCUAGUACGAGAGGACCGGAGUGGACGCAUCACUGGUGUUCGGGUUGUCAUGCCAAUGGCACUGCCCGGUAGCUAAAUGCGGAAGAGAUAAGUGCUGAAAGCAUCUAAGCACGAAACUUGCCCCGAGAUGAGUUCUCCCUGACUCCUUGAGGGUCCUGAAGGAACGUUGAAGACGACGACGUUGAUAGGCCGGGUGUGUAAGCGCAGCGAUGCGUUGAGCUAACCGGUACUAAUGAACCGUGAGGCUUAACCUU
This 1676-nucleotide ribosomal RNA is filed under the name Escherichia coli KTE141. RNAcentral describes it as "bacterial LSU rRNA". It matches the Rfam family "Bacterial large subunit ribosomal RNA", at positions 1271 to 2925 of the family's 2925-position model. Lineage: Bacteria; Pseudomonadati; Pseudomonadota; Gammaproteobacteria; Enterobacterales; Enterobacteriaceae. The record is from RNAcentral.